UCUAUAACCGGGUGUGGUUGCGGCCCUCGGGGGCGUGGGCGCCUUUUGGUGCCCUCUCUUCCGGGUGGUAGAGGUAAAACUCUCACGCACCACAUGUCUGAAUCCUUUUUUUACGAGCACCUUUCGUUCUCCUUCGGUGGGGCAACCUGCCGUUGGAACUUAUCAAACUCUUUUUUGCAUUUAGCAUUACCUGUUCUGAUACAAACAAUCGUUA
RNAcentral lists this unclassified non-coding RNA (214 nucleotides) under uncultured Microdiplodia. RNAcentral's name for it is "sequence contains ITS1". Lineage: Eukaryota; Fungi; Ascomycota; Dothideomycetes; Botryosphaeriales; Botryosphaeriaceae. The record is from RNAcentral.